RNAcentral lists this ribosomal RNA (424 nucleotides) under uncultured prokaryote. Its description in RNAcentral is "bacterial SSU rRNA". It matches the Rfam family "Bacterial small subunit ribosomal RNA", at positions 355 to 796 of the family's 1533-position model. The record is from RNAcentral.
UGGGGAAUAUUGGACAAUGGGCGCAAGCCUGAUCCAGCCAUGCCGCGUGAGUGAUGAAGGCCCUAGGGUUGUAAAACUCUUUCACCGGUGAAGAUAAUGACGGUAACCGGAGAAGAAGCCCCGGCUAACUUCGUGCCAGCAGCCGCGGUAAUACGAAGGGGGCUAGCGUUGUUCGGAAUCACUGGGCGUAAAGCGCGCGUAGGCGGGCUGGUCAGUCAGGGGUGAAAUCCCGGAGCUCAACUCCGGAACUGCCUUUGAUACUGCCAGUCUUGAGUUCGAGAGAGGUGAGUGGAAUUCCGAGUGUAGAGGUGAAAUUCGUAGAUAUUCGGAGGAACACCAGUGGCGAAGGCGGCUCACUGGCUCGAUACUGACGCUGAGGUGCGAAAGCGUGGGGAGCAAACAGGAUUAGAUACCCCCGUAGUCC